RNAcentral lists this unclassified non-coding RNA (561 nucleotides) under Hevea brasiliensis (rubber tree). The record is from RNAcentral. Lineage: Eukaryota; Viridiplantae; Streptophyta; Magnoliopsida; Malpighiales; Euphorbiaceae.
AAAUUUUGUUGUUCUGUUGAGGGAUUGCAUUAUUUUUGCGAUUGCUUUUGCACAUCAUUUCAAAAUUUUCUGUUUUUGCUUUGUAAAAUAGAUUGAUAGAUUUUCUUUAAUUUCGUGUUAUUUGCACGACAUUUUGAGCCAGAUAAUUAUAACCAGUAUUUCUAAUGUCGUUAAUACCUACGGUCUACUUUGUUAUUCACAGUUCUGAUUCUGGAUGGAAGGAAUUUGUUGAAUUACCGACAUAAUUCUGUGGAUUUUAUCUUUUGCUAUCUCUUAUGUGCAAUUUUUGUUUUAUUUGGAGAAUGCCAAGAAGCUUAAUUUCAUAUAAGCUCCAAUUCUUUAACCAUUGUGUUAAAUUAUCAAUAGGAUCAAUCCUAAAGUGAUUGGUCAGUAGUUCAAAUUUUGCUAAUCCAGCCGUUGGCAGUUGGUAUAUAAGCUUCAGUUUUCCAUAGACUUACUCAUGUUAUUAUUCUUUUUGUUUGACAUUUUUACCUUUUGUUAAUGGCUGCAAAUUUUUUUGUAUUAUUUUUUUUUAUCCAGUAUGCUCAUAGGAAGUGUGUU